This 477-nucleotide transfer RNA is filed under the name Phormidium sp. BDU 20391. RNAcentral describes it as "partial 16S-23S ribosomal RNA intergenic spacer". The stretch from base 200 to 272 matches the Rfam family "tRNA". Lineage: Bacteria; Bacillati; Cyanobacteriota; Cyanophyceae; Oscillatoriales; Oscillatoriaceae. The record is from RNAcentral.
UCCUUUAAGGGAGACCUACUUUUCAUAGGUUCGGAGGAAUGUAGCUUCGGAUUUAUGAGAGGUCACUCUAGGUCGUUCGGGAUUCAAUUGAUAGGCUCUCAAUUACUGUCGGGGAAGGGGGCUAUUAGCUCAGGUGGUUAGAGCGCACCCCUGAUAAGGGUGAGGUCCCUGGUUCGAGUCCAGGAUGGCCCACUGGGAUGGGGGUAUAGCUCAGUUGGUAGAGCGCCUGCUUUGCAAGCAGGAUGUCAGCGGUUCGAGUCCGCUUACCUCCACCAAGAAGAGAGAAUAGAAGACAGCAAGAUAGCGAGUACCGAGAGGUAGUAGUUAUAUUGCUGUGUUCUAGGAACACAGCGAGACCCUUGACAACUGCAUAGAGAAAAAAGAGAGCCAAAGGUAGUCAGACAAAAAGAGUCAGACACGACGAGAAAAGUUGGUCAAGCUACCAAGAGCUAACGGUGGAUACCUAGGUACACAGAA